Molecule: ribosomal RNA, 468 nt
Filed under: uncultured bacterium
Lineage: Bacteria
Description: partial 16S ribosomal RNA
Rfam family: Bacterial small subunit ribosomal RNA
Source: RNAcentral
GACGAACGCUGGCGGCGUGCUUAACACAUGCAAGUCGAACGGAAAGGCCCUGCUUUUGUGGGGUGCUCGAUUGGCGAACGUGUGAGUAACACGUGAUUACCCUCCCUUUUCCUUUGGUUUAUCUUCUGGAACCUGGGCCUAUUCCCGGUUCGGUGCUCUUCCUUCUUGUUGGGGUUUGGAAUUUUUCGGCGGUUGGGGAUGGACUCGCGGCUUAUCAGUUUGUUGGUGGGGUAGUGGCUUACCAAGGCUUUGACGGGUAGCCGGCCUGAGAGGGUGACCGGCCACAUUGGGACUGAGAUACGGACCAGAGUCCUACGGGAGGCAGCAGUGGGGAAUAUUGCACAAUGGGCGGAAGCCUGAUGCAGCAACGCAGCGUGCGGGAUGACGGCCUUCGGGUUGUAAACAGCUUUCGCAUGUGACGAAGCGUGAGUGACGGUAAUGGGUAAAGAAGCACCGGCUAACUACGUG